RNAcentral lists this small RNA (140 nucleotides) under Pannonibacter phragmitetus. Its description in RNAcentral is "Alphaproteobacterial sRNA BjrC1505". It matches the Rfam family "Alphaproteobacterial sRNA BjrC1505". The record is from Rfam by way of RNAcentral. Lineage: Bacteria; Pseudomonadati; Pseudomonadota; Alphaproteobacteria; Hyphomicrobiales; Stappiaceae.
UUAUUCAUUUACGCCAUAUUAAGCCUUCCGGGAGAUAACUGUGAAUGUCCAGUUAUCUGGAUUCCUGAGUGGCUCCUGUCCACUCUGUUUGACGCCUCCCUGUUAAUGACUUCGAGCCGCGCGCGCGCGGCUCUUUUUUU